RNAcentral lists this non-coding RNA (31 nucleotides) under Mus musculus (house mouse). Lineage: Eukaryota; Metazoa; Chordata; Mammalia; Rodentia; Muridae. The record is from RNAcentral.
UGGAAGUAUAAGACAAAUGAACCUUGUCCAC